RNAcentral lists this ribosomal RNA (254 nucleotides) under uncultured bacterium. RNAcentral's name for it is "partial 16S ribosomal RNA". It matches the Rfam family "Bacterial small subunit ribosomal RNA", at positions 524 to 776 of the family's 1533-position model. The record is from RNAcentral.
UACGGGGGGAGCAAGCGUUGUUCGGAUUUACUGGGCGUAAAGGGCGCGUAGGCGGCCUGUGCAAGUCAGUUGUGAAAUCUCCGGGCUUAACUCGGAAAGGUCAACUGAUACUGCUCGGCUAGAGUGCGGAAGGGGCAACUGGAAUUCUUGGUGUAGCGGUGAAAUGCGUAGAUAUCGAGGGGAACACCUGAGGCGAAGGCGGGUUGCUGGGCCGACUCUGACGCUGAAGUGCGAAAGCCAGGGGAGCGCACGGG